RNAcentral lists this ribosomal RNA (303 nucleotides) under uncultured bacterium. Its description in RNAcentral is "partial 16S ribosomal RNA". It matches the Rfam family "Bacterial small subunit ribosomal RNA", at positions 507 to 809 of the family's 1533-position model. The record is from RNAcentral.
AGCAGCCGCCGCGGUAAUACAGAGGGUGCAAGCGUUAAUCGGAAUUACUGGGCGUAAAGCGCGCGUAGGCGGCUUCUUAAGUCGGAUGUGAAAUCCCUGAGCUUAACUUAGGAAUUGCAUUCGAUACUGGUAAGCUAGAGUAUGGGAGAGGAUGGUAGAAUUCCAGGUGUAGCGGUGAAAUGCGUAGAGAUCUGGAGGAAUACCGAUGGCGAAGGCAGCCAUCUGGCCUAAUACUGACGCUGAGGUACGAAAGCAUGGGGAGCAAACAGGAUUAGAUACCCCGGUAGUCCCUGUCUCUUAUAA